RNAcentral lists this ribosomal RNA (468 nucleotides) under uncultured bacterium. RNAcentral describes it as "partial 16S ribosomal RNA". It matches the Rfam family "Bacterial small subunit ribosomal RNA", at positions 28 to 507 of the family's 1533-position model. The record is from RNAcentral.
GACGAACGCUGGCGGCGUGCUUAACACAUGCAAGUCGAACGGAAAGGCCCUGCUUUUGUGGGGUGCUCGAGUGGCGAACGGGUGAGUAACACGUGAGUAACCUGCCCUUGACUUUGGGAUAACUUCAGGAAACUGGGGCUAAUACCGGAUAGGAGCUCCUGCUGCAUGGUGGGGGUUGGAAAGUUUCGGCGGUUGGGGAUGGACUCGCGGCUUAUCAGCUUGUUGGUGGGGUAGUGGCUUACCAAGGCUUUGACGGGUAGCCGGCCUGAGAGGGUGACCGGCCACAUUGGGACUGAGAUACGGCCCAGACUCCUACGGGAGGCAGCAGUGGUGAAUAUUGCACUAUGGGCGGAAGCCUGAUGCAGCAACGCCGCGUGCGGGAUGACGGCCUUCGGGUUGUAAACCGCUUUCGCCUGUGACGAAGCGUGAGUGACGGUAAUGGGUAAAGAAGCACCGGCUAACUACGUG